CCCAGAGAACAUGGAUGACGAGCUCUCGAUCCUGCUGACAGCACCCACCAGCACAGACAAACUCCAGCACAUCUUGGAGGGUGGUAAACCGAGACACAGUUGGGACCUGUCUACACUACAGGUCUGUCGUGCGUUUGUAAUCUGCUGACCCCCACAUGUUGUUCAGAGCCUAUGGACAACACAGCUCCUAAAGAAAACUGACGUCCCUGUUUAGAAGGUAAGAGCCUCUGAGAGGUUUGGAACGUG
Long non-coding RNA from Trachemys scripta elegans, 246 nucleotides. RefSeq lists it as uncharacterized. The transcript has 3 exons. NCBI's taxonomy places the organism in Eukaryota, Metazoa, Chordata, Testudines, Emydidae. The record is from RefSeq and is a predicted model, not a curated record.